Molecule: transfer RNA, 75 nt
Filed under: Clostridia bacterium
Lineage: Bacteria; Bacillati; Bacillota; Clostridia
Description: tRNA-Thr
Rfam family: tRNA
About the family: Transfer RNA (tRNA) molecules are approximately 80 nucleotides in length. Their secondary structure includes four short double-helical elements and three loops (D, anti-codon, and T loops).
Source: RNAcentral
GCUAAUGUGGCUCAGGGGUAGAGCAGCUCACUCGUAAUGAGCAGGCCGUGGGUUCAAUUCCCACCAUUAGCUCCA